CGCCGCGGUAAUUCCAGCUCCAAUAGCGUAUAUUAAAGUUGUUGCAGUUAAAAAGCUCGUAGUUGAAUUUUGGGUCUGGCCGGGCGGUCCGCCCUCUGGGUGAGCACUGUUCCGACGCCGGGCCUAUCCUUCUGGUGAGUCGGCAUGUCCUUUAUUGGGUGUGCCGGGGAACCAGGACCAUUACCUUGAAAAAAUUAGAGUGUUCAAAGCAGGCGUAUGCUCGGAUACAUUAGCAUGGAAUAAUGAAAUAGGACGCGUGGUGCUAUUUUGUUGGUUUCUAGAACCGCCGUAAUGAUUAAUAGGGAUAGUUGGGGGCAUUAGUAUUCAAUUGUCAGAGGUGAAAUUCUUGGAUUUAUUGAAGACUAACUUCUGCGAAAGCAUUUGCCAAGGAUGUUUUCAUUAAUCAAGAACGAAAGUUAGGGGAUCGAAGACGAUCAGAUACCGUCGUAGUCUUAACCAUAAACUAUGCCGACUAGGAAUCGGGCGAUGUUAUUCUCAUGACUCGCCCGGCGCCUUAUG
Molecule: ribosomal RNA, 519 nt
Filed under: uncultured Ambispora
Lineage: Eukaryota; Fungi; Glomeromycota; Glomeromycetes; Archaeosporales; Ambisporaceae
Description: SSU rRNA
Rfam family: Eukaryotic small subunit ribosomal RNA
Source: RNAcentral